Molecule: long non-coding RNA, 1257 nt
Organism: Psammomys obesus (fat sand rat)
Lineage: Eukaryota; Metazoa; Chordata; Mammalia; Rodentia; Muridae
Exons: 6
Source: RefSeq, a predicted model, not a curated record
ACAAAGAGGAUUUCACCUGUCACCUUUACACUUUUGAUGAGCUACAAUAAGCCACUUCGGACACCAUAGGACUGAGGGAGUCUGCUUGGUGUUAUCCAUGUGUGGGAGUCCCAUGAGUGGAAGCUGAAUUUUGCGGCAGCAGGAACCUUUGGCCCUGAAGUUACACUGUUGUCAAUAUGGAUAUGCCAUUGUCUUUGGAACCAGGAAGGGCUUUGGAUCUAGGGAAACCAGGAUUUAUAAAGUCUAGCUCGAUGCAAAUAUUUCAAGGCUUAAUUCCCCCCACCCCACGCAACAGCAUAAGUUGCUAGCGUUUCGUAGAGUCACUGCCCACAUUGGCCAAUUUACAACAAGGAUCUCUGCUCUCGUUGAACGCAACUGUUGGUGAAAAUGUUUCCAUGCUUGAUCUAGCAGCAGUCAAGACGGAGUACAUUCGUGCCUGAGACUUGUGUGGGGAAAGACCCUUUUAGGAGGAUGGCGGUUCAAGCAGUCAGUGAAGAGAACCAGUCUUAUAGGGACAAGCAGCGGACAAAGCGAAUUCCUACGAGUGAGAACAACACUUUCAGUUGUGCUAAAGAGCGUUUUUUUUUUUUUUUUUUCCAAUCUGAAAGUUCAUUAUAUUUAUUUGUCAUCAGACGAAUUAUUCUGCACUUGUUGCUAAGUCUGUUGCUUGCUUUCUCGGAGUCAUUUCGCUCACUUCUAAUCUCUGUCUUCUAAAUGUGAUAAGCGCUAUAAAAUUCUUUCCUUGUAUGGGAAUUCUCAGGUCUUUUUCCCCCCUCAACAGCUUGAAUUCCUGUAUUCUGAUUAAGAUAGAUGAAGUAUUUGCAUUCUAUCCAUAUUCAUAAUCCUCUUUCAGAGUCAACCUAAAAUACCGCAUUUGUUGCCCAGGCAGAGACAGGCAAUGUGCUGUUGAGCUUUGCAGCUUUUUGUUUCAAUGGAUGAGGAUCCAUCGCUUUCAAAUCCACCAGAACAGUGGCCACUAGGUGAAUUCAGGCUGUAAAAAACCCAGGACAAUCAGAGUGUCUUUUAUAUAUGGCAGAAACGAUAAUUAAUGAUCCCCCCUUUCUAUGCUACAGAAAAAAGAAGGCAGUGCACUCGACAGACAUGUUAUUAAUAGUUUCUGCCAACUUGCCAUGCAUAAAGGGUUUAUUGGUUGCAAUUCCAGUGUAUGAAGACAUUCUUUUCCUUGAAAUGUUCAAGAUGGUUGUUUUAUGGAUGAAAAAUGAAUGCAAUCUGUCUACCGCCACUCAAACUUUGGGU